CGUACAUUCCUCCCUCCCUUGACCCUUUCCAAAUUCAGUGUUUCCAUUUCUUUUCUUUCUACACCGCAAUUAGGGUUUUCUUCACUUCUUCAAUUUCCCUCUUUCACACUUUCCACCAAAGAUCCUCUUGGACUUUUUUCAUACCCUUUUCCUAAUUAAGUCUUACUCUCUUUAAAGCUUCAAUUUUUACACAAAACCCCUUUUUUUGGGACUUUUUCUUUCCAUUUACCCGUUCAAAUUUCUAUAUUUUUGACCAAUUGGGUCAAUUUCGACCUGAUCCAGUUAUAAUCGUGUUGAAUUGUCUGAAACUGAUUUCAAUUUUGUGUGAAGUUUGGAAAUAAAGAAGGGAGUUAUGGAGAAUUAAAGUUUAAAAAUUUGAAGCUCCUGACCCAGGGUCCUGGCUCCGCCACUGGUUUGGUUUGGUGAAAUUAGAAAAAGUGGUGAUUUUUAUCAUUGGAUUUGGAGUAAGGGUUGUUUUUGGAAAUGGAUAAUUCCAAAAACAGAAUUAAUGACAGUUUGGGUGUUAAUAAAAUGGGUAAGAAUAUAAGGAAAAGUCCUUUACAUCAACCGAAUUUCGGCAAUAAUGCGGCUAGACAACAGCCUCAGCCUCAGGUUUACAACAUAAGCAAGAACGAUUUUCGGGAUAUUGUUCAGCAGCUUACUGGAUCACCUUCUCAGGAACCUCCGCCUCGGCCUCCACAUAGGCCUCCGCCAAAACCACAGAGUAUGCGCUUGCAGAAAAUUAGACCUCCCCCGCUAUCGCCAAUCAACCGACCUCGUUUGCCACCGCCAAUGCCAAUGCCUGCAGCCCCUCCUCCACUUCCUUACAAUAAUGCACCUAGACCUGCUCAUUAUGGACAACCAUCGCCUACUCCUUUGACACCCGGGGAUUUGUGGGCCAAUACAACUGAGUCGCCAAUCUCUGCUUACAUGCGGUAUCUUCAGAAUUCGAUGAUGGAUCCAGGUUCAAGGGGUAAUCAAUUUCCGCCUCAGCCUCAACCACAUCCAUACCCUCAACAGCAAGUACAAGGAAAUUAUCAGCCUCAACCUCCUCCACCGGCUUUGCUUCCUAACCCUAACGUGCCACCGAUCCCUUCUCCAAGGUUUAACAAUGGUCCUGUACCGCCAAUGAAUGCCCAUAAUCAUCCAAUGCCUAGUAUUCCUUCACCACAUGGAAAUGGCCCUCCCCUUUUACCUUCUCCAACCUCUCAAUUUCUCUUGCCUUCUCCAACUGGUUACAUGAAUUUACUGUCCCCUCGGUCACCUUAUCCACUAUUGUCACCCGGCUUUCAGUUUCCAUCACCACUACCCAAUUUUCCGUUCUCACCCAUGGGACAGUCAGGAAUUUUAGGGCCUGGCCCUCAACCACCACCUUCUCCCGGCCUUAUGUUUCCAUUAUCUCCUUCAAGCUUCUUCACCAUGCCAAGUCCUAGGUGGAGAGAUCAAUAGUCUUCUCAAAUUGUGCAUACAUGUUUGAUUGGGGAUGCUUCCUUCUAACUGGACAGAUCUUAGUCUUGUUCAUUAGCAUGUAAUGUACAAACAAGUUGUAAGAGCUUUUUUUUUUGGCUGUUUUGUAGUGUUCAUUUCCAAUUUCUUUGUUUUUUUUUUAAUUUGAUAACCAUAAUGGUUUCGAUUCUUUUACUUUGACAAGUUUUACAUUAGGCAAUAUAUUAUUGGAGAUCGAACAACCCAAUUGAACAGUUGGACAGGAGCGCUGUAAAAUGAAAGACUGUCUGUAACUUGAAACGAUGUAGGAUUACAGACAAUACUUGUUAUUGUAGAGACAGAGGACUCUCUUCAUUUUACGGUUGAAUCUGUUCUCCAGCAACGUCCAGAAGGAUGAGGUUGAUGUUAUGUUGAUCACAACACGCUCACCAUUAAGGAUGCUCUUUCUGAUCGGAAUCGGUUCUCAGCAAAAUUCACCUUGAAUGGGAAGCAUUGCGAUAAUGAUCAAUGGCAGAUGUAUCCUAGAAGAUAUUGUAUCCUAGAAGAUGAUCAAUGAAUGUAUGAUAGGUUCAAUUUGUUUUUUGGAAGCUCUGAAGCAUUCUUUUUUAAAGUAAAAGGGAAAGCACAUGAAGACUAUUUAAGAUUAUUUCAACUUCAUUUGAGGCUUUUGUUAGGAAACAUGGUAUUGAUUGAAUAAAAGAAAAUGAGGAAGAUGGUACAAAACUACAAAUGAACCAAAAAUCAUGGAGGAGCCCCUUCAUCUCCUUUCAAUUGUGAACUGGAUUCUUUGGCUAAGGUGAUGGAAAACCUCUUUCAAUGUUAAC
RNA transcript from Medicago truncatula (barrel medic), 2270 nucleotides. It is a transcript of the gene named protein HAIKU1, with no coding region annotated. The transcript is spliced from 3 exons. The record is from RefSeq and is a predicted model, not a curated record. Lineage: Eukaryota; Viridiplantae; Streptophyta; Magnoliopsida; Fabales; Fabaceae.